CUUACUGUGCUUGUUAGGAUUUGUUGUGCAGUGUUGACUGGAGUGAUAGUAGAGGACUUCCUGCCCAUAUUUCUUAUUUCAAGGGAGACAUUCUCAGUGUUUCAUCAGUUUGCCCCUGAAACGUGUGUAAAGUGAAAGGUGGUAACCCUCGGUCAUCCCAUGGCGUUAGGAGCUGCACACUGCGCUGGUCGCUGGCCACACAGCUACACGCCAAGAGGCUUCUACACAGAAAGAGCUGAGGCCCUAGUGCGUGAGACGGAUGCCGACAGUGUGUGGUGUGGAUGGUGGGGCAAGGCCGGAGGAGCACGAGCGCCACUCACCAGGAAGAUAUAAGGAGGCUCAGAGAACGUGUGUGGGAGAAUGGGGUGGCAAGUGUACUGGAGAAGGUGCACGUGCACAGCAUGUGAGUCUAGUGCCCGAGCAGCAGCGUGCCCCUGGGAGAGGUGGGCAGGAGCCAUGUUCUGCAGAACCCUACCCACCAGGAGAGCUUCUCCAACUUGCCUGGGCUCCCCGCUCCCAUGUUUCCCAUUUAGCAGGUCUGCACAGGGGCCCAGAGAACAUCUCAGACAAGUUCCCAGUGUUGCUGCUGCUGCCAGGCUGGGACCCACACCUUGAGAAGCACUGCCUGGAGGAACCACCCAUGGGUGAAGGACAGGGCCGUGCCGAGCCAAGCCAGCUUGCGUCCUGCUCCCAGCUCCACAUCCAAGAUGCAGACCAGAUGAUGUGCUGCUCCUUCUUCAGCUGAGUGCUCCUAAGCGUGACCCAUUGAAACGGAAGGAGAACCGCGCAGCAGAAAGACGUCGGCAGGCACUCCCCAAUGUCCCCAGCCCCCGGAGAGACCCUCAGCACCCGUGGACACUGAAGGUUCUUGUUAGUCCCUGCAGUAAAGGAACCUUGAGAGUCGUUUAAGGUAGGCUUCCUGAACUGACAUGACCAUGUAAUUCAAGGGGCUAGUGAUAUCCUUCUGGAUCUUUCUUUGAGGAAAGCAAAGCAGCAGAGAACAUGCCUCUUAUACAGCUUUGUUUUGUUUUGCAAUGUUUAUUUGAAAAGCCCUUUGUCAGAAUGUGGAGGUGAGAGCUCCCUGCUCCAUCUCUGAAAGGCCCGUGGUGGCCCUGGCAGUCUCGUCCUCCCCCCUGGCCCUGGCAUCCCCAAGCCUCCUGCCAACACAGAACCGCGCACAGAGAACAGGCACACGAGGGGAGCAACAUGUUCUUUUAUUGAUGCAAGUACGUCCAGUCACACCAACAGUUGACAUCCUUUAUUAUUAUAAAGUACAGCUUUAUACGCAGAGUUCAUCUCGAAAUACCAAAACAUCAUAGGGUAUGUGUCAAAUUGGGAAAAUAAAGUAGCAAAUGUAGCACUGUGUCAGGUCGGUACUAGAACUGAUGACCAAGUGAAGCGCACACUGAUGUGAAAGCUCCUUAACACAUGGACAGAAAAGGUUCUAACAUUGUAUUCCAAAUAUAUAUUCUCAAGUUUUAAACCUUUCUUUAUCUCAAAUACAUAAACAAAGCAAUAUGUACUGUCAAUAUACAAUAUGUACUAUCUAGAACGUCUGGAAAGUGCAAAAACACUGUGACAAUACAGUGUAAAUAUCCUUGCUCCACCCUGGGCUGAGGGCGACAUGAGCAGCGGAUCAUGGAGCCACCUCCCCCUGAGGCCUCGCCUUCACAUCUCCAGGCUCUCCUAGGAGUUUUGGGAAUUAGCAACUAACUGUCCUUACCCAGGCCUGCCAGCUGGAGGCUCCGGCGGAAGCCAGCCAUGUGGCGAGAAACAGGGUGAGUAGUUCCAAAUCUGCUUGGAUGGAAUGACAGCCCCGCCAUGAGGGAGAUACAGUCAGCAUGGAUUGCCCAUUUCUGGCCUUGGAGGGAGCAGGGCUAUCACUGUCCCAUGGCCGGGAAGUCAGAAAAUGGAGAGUACUCCUCGAGUUCGGGUGUGGAAAAUACCUCCAAAUGUUGUUGGGCAGCUUUAUGUGAGUGGGCUCCAGCAGAUACUGGCCUGGCUAACCUUCCAUGUUUCACACUCCGUUAGGGGAGCUCAAUCCCCCACCCAGAGGGAAGGAGGAUACUGAUUUGUAAGUUGCUUCUUUUGACUUUGUACUUGAGUUUCAAGAUGGCUUUAUACGUCCCCAUCCUUAAUUAUACUUUGUAUUCGCUUUAUUACAGCUAAGUAAGUGUGUCAAAGUUAACAGCCUGGAAAACGGACAAUUCCAUGACUCCCUCCUUACGUUAUUUUAGAUUUUCUCUUUUCCUAAAAUGUAGGUGAAGAACAAUUUGCCAGACAUCUUCCAACAGAAAAUAUGCUGCCAGGUGUCCCCCUGCCCUCCCCCCAACCCCCAUAAAUCCCUGAUAAAGGAAAAUGAAAAUGUAAACUUUGGAAAGCCCGUAUUCAAGGUUCACUUCUGGAAGUACGCAAAUGAGACCUCCGGGCCACCCGAGCCCUUCUUGCCAGAACCUUGUGGGCCUGCGCUUUGAGGGCAGAGCUUCCCCGGUGCCUCCAGCGGCACUGGCUGCAGGCGAGAACGGGCCUGCCAGAACCCUCUAAGGCACUCACCCCGACAUCAGAGACACUGGCUGGAAAGGAGGCAGGGCUCACGUUGGUUUUGGUUGGGUUUUUUUAAGUAUUUUUUUGUAAGAUGUUUGUUAAUAAUCAAAAGUAGAAAAUAAAAAUCUACAUUUCAUUAGAAUAAGACGUUAUCAUGGAUGCCAUCUCCCAUGAUACUCUUUCCCCACCCCUCCCCAAAGCAGGGCCCUGCCCUGUCAUAAACAAAAAGCUUUAAGUGCCAAAGGUUGAUGCAUGAAAUAAUUACUUCUUUUUUUUCAUAAAAGUUAUGUACAAAAUGGACCCCAACCAGUGAGGCCUCAUCUCAGCCCAUUAUCACUCAAGAUUAAAACUCAGUACGUAGGUGUGCUUAAUCCCAGCGUCUGCAGGCUGCAUCCGUACCUUCAGGCUCUGUUAAGGAGAGUGGUCCUAAAGGUGAGCAGGGAACGAGGAAGUGGUCAGGCGGGCAGGCCCUUCCCCUGAGCAAGCAGAGGGCAGGCUUGUGCUACUAGGGGAAGGCCCGGCUGCCUAGAACCGCCCAUUGAGGGAGGGGUCAGGGACGUUCAAACCCCAAGUCCUCAGCCUGUACCGGGGAUGCCUUCCUCUCCCCGGUCUGCGGAGAGGUGCCCUCGGCCGCCUUUCAAAAGGGCAGACCCAUCAUGCCUACCCCCACCCCAUCCUUUCCCUUCCUUGUAGACUCUGGUAUGGGGCUGGUCUUGGGGGCUCACCGGACUGCUGCUGGAGUUCUCCUACCUGAGGGUCUUCCAGCUGUCCUUUUCCAUGUGGUUCUCGGGACCUUCACUUUCGAAGGAGGCGAUGAAGAGAGCUGAGAGACGAGAAGCCCCGCAGAAGCCAUGUCCACACCCGGUCAGUCUGCCUCCCACCCCGGUUAUCCCUUCUCAAACUCUCCCUCCCAGGGUGGAGCGAGGCCCGGGAACGAACUCCUAAACCAAGGGGGCAGCAACUUCGGGCCUCGGCUGGUCCACAGGCCUCUGCUGCAUGGGGUUCCUGGCAACCUGCCUGGGGACUCAGACGUUUCCUGGUUCUGCAGCACUGGCCCAACCACGUACUGGCUCUCUCAAGUGGCCUCGGGAGCCUGAUCUUUUCUUGUCCUUAUCCAUGGCCCACCCUCAUGCACUCACCCCUGUGAGCUGAGCUUCCCCAGCGUAGCAUGGGAAUAACAACCCUGGAAGGGCACCCUGCCCGAGUCAGGGUGACCUCUACAGUGUGCAGAGGUGGACCUCACCUUCCUCGCUGUAGAUGGGAGCCGUCAGCAGGUAACUCUGAAUCUUCUUGUCCUUCUCGAAGGGACACUCUACCUGUGUCCAUGUCAUGAACUCAUGGAUCUGUCUGGAGAUGUCCCAAAAUUUCUGAAGGGGCAGAAGACCAACUGGAUGUUCAUUUGUCACCUUAAGCUUGAAAACCCUGGUUAGGGCAGGGGACGUAGGCUCUGGCUUUGGUCAGCUGAUCAUUUCCCUGGUCCCAGAGAGACUGGACGGUGGCCCUACAAAGCUGACUCCGUAGCCGUGGAAGUACUCUGUACAACAGGGCCAGCCGGUGUCUCCAAGGCCAUUCAGUCCUGCCCUCCGCCUGAGCCACCGGGCUGCAGCCAGGUCUGUGCUUCUGCUGUGCAUGACCCCCAAGAAGCCCCUCAUCUGUCACUCCAGGCUGAGGCAGGCGUCCCAGCCACACCCAGCACAGCCCCACCAACCAGAACACCCCAGGAUCUCACUCUGGGGCCCUCGGGCUCCUAGCACUGUAACCAGAUCAUCCACCCAGAACUGGGGCCACCCUCAUACCUUGAGGUCACGGCACCCAUGACCCACCCUGGAGCCUUCAGUCCUAAAAGGCCCUUCUGCCACAGGGCCUCGGCCUGGCAGCUCUCAUGGCACAGACGGAUUCUGCCUGUCCUAAAGCAAGGCCAGGAAGUCUGCCCUACCCUGUGCUGGGACAGCCUGGCCCCCUCCCCUCAGACCACAAGGGGGCUGAGCUGACCUUGAAGUUAAUGUGUCCAUUGGGCAGGUGGUUGGUGUGGAUUUUGUGCAGGAAGUAGAUGUCCUUAACGAAGAGGUUGAACACAGGGAUGACGAUCUUCUCCCGGCUGCUAUUGGCCAUCUGGGAUCUCUGUGUGGCCCCCUGCAGGGCUGUGCGGUAGUUGCAGAAGUUGCUGGAUGGGUCCAUGUGGUGCUGUGGGCAGACGGGAGGAUAUGGUGGGCACUGCUCCCCCUGCACCCGUCAGAGCUGCUCAGGAGGCCCCUUUACAGGAAGCAGCUCAGGGUGGCCCUGUACCAUCACCAGAAGAGGCCGCCUCUCCAGGAGUGAGCACAGGGGAAGGAAGCCCACAGGCACGUGUCUGAGCACUGGGCUGGGACUUUCUGGCUUUGGGUCCAGGCGUCACGGGGCAAGCUGUAGAGAAAUCUUGAAGCUCACACACACCUCCUCCCUGCCCUGCUAAGUCUGGGUCUCCCCUCCUUCCUUUCAAAACCUUCCUUUGCCCUUGUGCUUUCACAGACACCUCCCAAACCUGACCAGCUCCACAAGACACACACUUGCAAAAACUGGAUUCUCUGAUCAAAUACAUCUGGUCAAGGCUGUAGACUCGCCUCUCAGCCCCUGGGCCCCCCAGACGGUCCGAGACCAUGGAAGUCGAACGAGAAAAAGGCCAGUCUCUGCUUGGUAGGCACUGCCCAACCUGGGGCUGUCGGCCUGCUUUUGCCGACAAACUCCUUGCUGAUCUUUCCCCCAAGCUUUGCUUUAGGCGAUGCCAGUUCUGACUCAAGGCCCAAGGGCCGAGGAGAGCAUGGGCUACCUGCCUUCUGGGGGCGCCGCGGCCAGGUAAGCGGACACACCCAACAUCAGACGGCACUCGGGGCAGCAGGCCCUCAGCAAGGGGCCAGAGCGUGAUGGGACGCCCAGCCCUCCUCAGGCUGACUCGGGACAAGACAGGGUGCCUACCUCUAAGACGUCGAACUUGGCCGUCUUGACUUUGGACCAGGUUUUCUUCAGCCUUGCCACAGGACUGAGGUUCA
Globicephala melas (long-finned pilot whale) is the source of this 5570-nucleotide long non-coding RNA. RefSeq lists it as uncharacterized. The record is from RefSeq and is a predicted model, not a curated record. NCBI's taxonomy places the organism in Eukaryota, Metazoa, Chordata, Mammalia, Artiodactyla, Delphinidae.